CCUACGGGGGGCUGCAGUGGGGAAUAUUGGACAAUGGGCGAAAGCCUGAUCCAGCCAUGCCGCGUGUGUGAAGAAGGCCUUCGGGUUGUAAAGCACUUUCAGUGGGGAAGAAAGCCUUGGGGCUAAUACCCUCGAGGAAGGACAUCACCCACAGAAGAAGCACCGGCUAACUCCGUGCCAGCAGCCGCGGUAAUACGGAGGGUGCGUGCGUUAAUCGGAAUUACUGGGCGUAAAGCGCGCGUAGGCGGUCUGAUAAGCCGGUUGUGAAAGCCCCGGGCUCAACCUGGGAACGGCAUCCGGAACUGUCAGGCUAGAGUGCAGGAGAGGAAGGUAGAAUUCCCGGUGUAGCGGUGAAAUGCGUAGAGAUCGGGAGGAAUACCAGUGGCGAAGGCGGCCUUCUGGACUGACACUGACGCUGAGGUGCGAAAGCGUGGGUAGCAAACAGGAUUAGAUACCCCGGUAGUC
RNAcentral lists this ribosomal RNA (465 nucleotides) under Vreelandella stevensii. RNAcentral describes it as "partial 16S ribosomal RNA". It matches the Rfam family "Bacterial small subunit ribosomal RNA", at positions 338 to 795 of the family's 1533-position model. Lineage: Bacteria; Pseudomonadati; Pseudomonadota; Gammaproteobacteria; Oceanospirillales; Halomonadaceae. The record is from RNAcentral.